Molecule: ribosomal RNA, 117 nt
Filed under: Lepisosteus oculatus (spotted gar)
Lineage: Eukaryota; Metazoa; Chordata; Actinopteri; Semionotiformes; Lepisosteidae
Source: RNAcentral
GCCAGGAGUCAUAUCACCCUGUAGCUCUCAACUGGCUACCCACUGAAGCUAAGCAGGGUUGAGCCUGGACAGUACCUGGAUGGGAGACCUCCUGGGAAGCUAUGGUUGCUGCUGGAA